This 513-nucleotide ribosomal RNA is filed under the name uncultured Ruminococcus sp. Its description in RNAcentral is "bacterial SSU rRNA". It matches the Rfam family "Bacterial small subunit ribosomal RNA", at positions 8 to 521 of the family's 1533-position model. Lineage: Bacteria; Bacillati; Bacillota; Clostridia; Eubacteriales; Oscillospiraceae. The record is from RNAcentral.
AGAGUUUGAUCCUGGCUCAGGAUGAACGCUGGCGGCGUGCUUAACACAUGCAAGUCGAGCGAAGCACCUUGACGGAUUUCUUCGGAUUGAAGCCUUGGUGACUGAGCGGCGGACGGGUGAGUAACGCGUGGGUAACCUGCCUCAUACAGGGGGAUAACAGUUGGAAACGGCUGCUAAUACCGCAUAAGCGCACAGUACCGCAUGGUACGGUGUGAAAAACUCCGGUGGUAUGAGAUGGACCCGCGUCUGAUUAGGUAGUUGGUGGGGUAACGGCCUACCAAGCCGACGAUCAGUAGCCGACCUGAGAGGGUGACCGGCCACAUUGGGACUGAGACACGGCCCAAACUCCUACGGGAGGCAGCAGUGGGGAAUAUUGCACAAUGGGGGAAACCCUGAUGCAGCGACGCCGCGUGAGCGAUGAAGUAUUUCGGUAUGUAAAGCUCUAUCAGCAGGGAAGAAAAUGACGGUACCUGACUAAGAAGCCCAGGCUAACUACGUGCCAGCAGCUGCGGU